Molecule: long non-coding RNA, 781 nt
Organism: Brassica napus (rape)
Lineage: Eukaryota; Viridiplantae; Streptophyta; Magnoliopsida; Brassicales; Brassicaceae
Exons: 4
Source: RefSeq, a predicted model, not a curated record
AGGUUGAAUUUAUCAAGUACUUGUGUAUCUGUUGUUCUUUGUUGUGAUUAACUUCAUCAAUCUUAUGAUAUGAUCUAUGGUUUUCAGUUGAUGCUAAAAACAAGAACGCUCCUUCUGAGACAAAGCCCCUGAUAGUACACAAGCUUUCACACCACUUCUCUUUGGCCUCUUUUUUUGUGCUGUUGAUAAUACUGUGAGCAUGCGGUUUAUGAAAACUGGGAAACACGUACGAAUCUGAGUGGACUACUCAACUGCUACCUGGUUAAACACGUAAGUUUAUUUCCAUGUAAUGUCUGAUAAAACAUCAAACCAGUUGUGGCUGUUACCUGAACGAAGGGAGCUAGGAUAUAGAGCAUACUUGGUUUGGUUAUCUGAAUAUGAAUGGCGGUGGGCUUCACACUUCAACCACUUCAGUUAAAACUCCAGUUUUUAAAAAUUGUAUUUGGUCAACCUAUGCGCAUGGAGAGAAUGAUCCAGGAAGCUACAUUAUUCUAUGAGACCAUUGUCUAUACGUACAUACGCAUAUGGUGAAGAUUAAAGGGUUUAGCUUGGAUUCACGUGUCUGUUCAUUGGUUAAAGAAGCUGGUUCAUUGGUUAAUGAAGUUAAAUGGAAUACUUUCGGUAGUAGUUUUGCUGUCUUAGACUCGGGUUUAGGCUCUGAGAUGGGUGAUCCUUCUCAAAGGACUCUAGGAGGAAAAGCAGUAAAACCAACUCAAAACUCAAUCUCUACCAUAAGUUCAAUUUCUUCUUAAUUAUUCAAGGACUGUUUAUAACUUGAGGC